This 68-nucleotide transfer RNA is filed under the name Marmota monax (woodchuck). RNAcentral describes it as "tRNA.Ala". The stretch from base 5 to 65 matches the Rfam family "tRNA", at positions 6 to 65 of the family's 71-position model. From Rfam's summary of the family: Transfer RNA (tRNA) molecules are approximately 80 nucleotides in length. Their secondary structure includes four short double-helical elements and three loops (D, anti-codon, and T loops). The record is from RNAcentral. Lineage: Eukaryota; Metazoa; Chordata; Mammalia; Rodentia; Sciuridae.
GGAUUGUAGCUCAGUGGUAGAGCACUUGCCUUGCAUGUGUGAGGCACUGGGUUCAAUUCUCAGCACCA